Molecule: ribosomal RNA, 901 nt
Filed under: uncultured bacterium
Lineage: Bacteria
Description: bacterial SSU rRNA
Rfam family: Bacterial small subunit ribosomal RNA
Source: RNAcentral
AGAGUUUGAUCCUGGCUCAGGACGAACGCUGGCGGCGUGCUUAACACAUGCAAGUCGAACGGUGAUCUUGAGAGCUUGCUCUUGGGUGAUCAGUGGCGAACGGGUGAGUAACACGUGAGUAACCUGCCCCAGACUCUGGAAUAACCCCGGGAAACCGGAGCUAAUACCGGAUACGACACCAAUCCGCAUGGGUAUGGUGUGGAAAGUUUUUCGGUCUGGGAUGGACUCGCGGCCUAUCAGCUUGUUGGUGAGGUAGUGGCUCACCAAGGCGACGACGGGUAGCCGGCCUGAGAGGGCGACCGGCCACACUGGGACUGAGACACGGCCCAGACUCCUACGGGAGGCAGCAGUGGGGAAUAUUGCACAAUGGGCGCAAGCCUGAUGCAGCGACGCCGCGUGAGGGAUGACGGCCUUCGGGUUGUAAACCUCUUUCAGCAGGGAAGAAGCGCAAGUGACGGUACCUGCAGAAGAAGCACCGGCUAACUACGUGCCAGCAGCCGCGGUAAUACGUAGGGUGCGAGCGUUGUCCGGAAUUAUUGGGCGUAAAGAGCUUGUAGGCGGUUUGUCGCGUCUGCUGUGAAAAUCCGAGGCUCAACCUCGGACUUGCAGUGGGUACGGGCAGACUAGAGUGUGGUAGGGGAGACUGGAAUUCCUGGUGUAGCGGUGAAAUGCGCAGAUAUCAGGAGGAACACCGAUGGCGAAGGCAGGUCUCUGGGCCACUACUGACGCUGAGAAGCGAAAGCAUGGGGAGCGAACAGGAUUAGAUACCCUGGUAGUCCAUGCCGUAAACGUUGGGAACUAGGUGUGGGUCUCAUUCCACGAGAUCCGUGCCGCAGCUAACGCAUUAAGUUCCCCGCCUGGGGAGUACGGCCGCAAGGCUAAAACUCAAAUGAAUUGACGG